RNAcentral lists this long non-coding RNA (709 nucleotides) under Lathyrus oleraceus (garden pea). Its description in RNAcentral is "Pisum sativum (pea) long non-coding RNA (PSAT_LNC025345)". Lineage: Eukaryota; Viridiplantae; Streptophyta; Magnoliopsida; Fabales; Fabaceae. The record is from RNAcentral.
UAAACCUAGUCACCUUGAGAAGGCUACUAUGUUAAACAAAUACAUUAAGCGGCUAAGUAGCAUGUAUAUGUAUAUGCCAUUUUAAUUCAAAGUCAUGCAUUUUGAGUUUUUCAACACAUCCUAUAAUGUUCAAAGCAAACUUAGCUCUUUACCCAUGUAUCCAUAUAAUAGGUUUCACGUUUCUAAUAAAAUUGGUUUUAUGUUAUUUUCAAGUCUUGUUUUGUUUUCAUAACUUUAACCCAGCUUUGUCUAUAUAAACCCACAUUUUCUUUAUUUUUUUUUCCAUGUUCAUUUUUUUAAAACAACAUAUUAUGAUAUCAAUACAUUAUAUCUUAUAAUAAUAGAUUUAAAAAACUGAAAUAUCAAUAUAUUACAAUUUAAGUAAAUAAAAUUAAUCAUAAAAAAUAUGCAUAUUCUCGUACUUUAGUGUUUAAAACAUAGUUUUUAUAAAAAUUGUAUAAAAUAAGUAAUUCGCUCUACCAAUGUUGCUUUGGUGUAAUAAACCUCGUCACCUUGCGAAGGCUACUAUGUUAAACAAAUACAUUAAGCGGCUAAGUAACAUGUAUAUGUAUAUGCCAUUUUAAUUCAAAGUCAUGCAUUUUGAGUUUUUCAACACAUCCUAUAAUGUUCAAAGCAAACUUAGCUCUUUACCCAUGUAUCCAUCUAAUAGGUUUCACGUUUCUAAUAAAAGUUGUUCUACGUUAUUUUU